AGAUGAUGAUGAUGAUGAUGAUGAUGAUGACGAUGAUGCAAAAAUGAUGAGAAUUCUGGUCAAUAUGAAACAUCAUCAUCAUCAUCAUCAUCAUCCUCC
RNAcentral lists this microRNA precursor (99 nucleotides) under Bigelowiella natans CCMP2755. RNAcentral describes it as "miRNA EPrBNAG00000013302". Lineage: Eukaryota; Cercozoa; Chlorarachniophyceae. The record is from RNAcentral.